RNAcentral lists this ribosomal RNA (76 nucleotides) under Metschnikowia pulcherrima. RNAcentral describes it as "partial 26S ribosomal RNA". The record is from RNAcentral. Lineage: Eukaryota; Fungi; Ascomycota; Pichiomycetes; Serinales; Metschnikowiaceae.
GUUUUAGCCCCAUUCUUCUUCCUCACCCUCGUAAGACUACCCGCUGAACUUAAGCAUAUCACUAAGCGGAGGAAAA